CCUACGGGUGGCAGCAGUGGGGAAUAUUGCACAAUGGGGGCAAGCCUGAUGCAGCGACGCCGCGUGAGUGAAGAAGUAUCUCGGUACGUAAAGCUCUUUUCGGAGGGAAGAAAAUGAUGGUACUUGAUCAAGAAGCCUCGGCUAACUACGUGCCAGCAGCCGCGGCAAUACGUAGGGGGUAAGCGGUAUCCGGCUUCAUUGGGUGUAAAGGGGGCGUAGGCGGCAGAACAAGACUGGAGUGAAAACCACGGGCUUAACCCCGGUACUGCUUUGGAUACUGUUCGGCUGGAGUGCAGGAGGGGUAAGCGGAAUUCCUUGUGUAGCGGUGAAAUGCGUAGAUAUAAGGAGGAACACCAGUGGCGAAGGCGGAUUGCUGGACUGUAACUGACGUUGAGGCGCGAAAGCGUGGGGAGCAAACAGGAUUAGAUACCCUGGUAGUC
This 440-nucleotide ribosomal RNA is filed under the name uncultured bacterium. RNAcentral's name for it is "partial 16S ribosomal RNA". It matches the Rfam family "Bacterial small subunit ribosomal RNA", at positions 338 to 795 of the family's 1533-position model. The record is from RNAcentral.